Molecule: ribosomal RNA, 2904 nt
Filed under: Escherichia coli
Lineage: Bacteria; Pseudomonadati; Pseudomonadota; Gammaproteobacteria; Enterobacterales; Enterobacteriaceae
Description: 23S ribosomal RNA
Rfam family: Bacterial large subunit ribosomal RNA
Source: RNAcentral
GGUUAAGCGACUAAGCGUACACGGUGGAUGCCCUGGCAGUCAGAGGCGAUGAAGGACGUGCUAAUCUGCGAUAAGCGUCGGUAAGGUGAUAUGAACCGUUAUAACCGGCGAUUUCCGAAUGGGGAAACCCAGUGUGUUUCGACACACUAUCAUUAACUGAAUCCAUAGGUUAAUGAGGCGAACCGGGGGAACUGAAACAUCUAAGUACCCCGAGGAAAAGAAAUCAACCGAGAUUCCCCCAGUAGCGGCGAGCGAACGGGGAGCAGCCCAGAGCCUGAAUCAGUGUGUGUGUUAGUGGAAGCGUCUGGAAAGGCGCGCGAUACAGGGUGACAGCCCCGUACACAAAAAUGCACAUGCUGUGAGCUCGAUGAGUAGGGCGGGACACGUGGUAUCCUGUCUGAAUAUGGGGGGACCAUCCUCCAAGGCUAAAUACUCCUGACUGACCGAUAGUGAACCAGUACCGUGAGGGAAAGGCGAAAAGAACCCCGGCGAGGGGAGUGAAAAAGAACCUGAAACCGUGUACGUACAAGCAGUGGGAGCACGCUUAGGCGUGUGACUGCGUACCUUUUGUAUAAUGGGUCAGCGACUUAUAUUCUGUAGCAAGGUUAACCGAAUAGGGGAGCCGAAGGGAAACCGAGUCUUAACUGGGCGUUAAGUUGCAGGGUAUAGACCCGAAACCCGGUGAUCUAGCCAUGGGCAGGUUGAAGGUUGGGUAACACUAACUGGAGGACCGAACCGACUAAUGUUGAAAAAUUAGCGGAUGACUUGUGGCUGGGGGUGAAAGGCCAAUCAAACCGGGAGAUAGCUGGUUCUCCCCGAAAGCUAUUUAGGUAGCGCCUCGUGAAUUCAUCUCCGGGGGUAGAGCACUGUUUCGGCAAGGGGGUCAUCCCGACUUACCAACCCGAUGCAAACUGCGAAUACCGGAGAAUGUUAUCACGGGAGACACACGGCGGGUGCUAACGUCCGUCGUGAAGAGGGAAACAACCCAGACCGCCAGCUAAGGUCCCAAAGUCAUGGUUAAGUGGGAAACGAUGUGGGAAGGCCCAGACAGCCAGGAUGUUGGCUUAGAAGCAGCCAUCAUUUAAAGAAAGCGUAAUAGCUCACUGGUCGAGUCGGCCUGCGCGGAAGAUGUAACGGGGCUAAACCAUGCACCGAAGCUGCGGCAGCGACGCUUAUGCGUUGUUGGGUAGGGGAGCGUUCUGUAAGCCUGCGAAGGUGUGCUGUGAGGCAUGCUGGAGGUAUCAGAAGUGCGAAUGCUGACAUAAGUAACGAUAAAGCGGGUGAAAAGCCCGCUCGCCGGAAGACCAAGGGUUCCUGUCCAACGUUAAUCGGGGCAGGGUGAGUCGACCCCUAAGGCGAGGCCGAAAGGCGUAGUCGAUGGGAAACAGGUUAAUAUUCCUGUACUUGGUGUUACUGCGAAGGGGGGACGGAGAAGGCUAUGUUGGCCGGGCGACGGUUGUCCCGGUUUAAGCGUGUAGGCUGGUUUUCCAGGCAAAUCCGGAAAAUCAAGGCUGAGGCGUGAUGACGAGGCACUACGGUGCUGAAGCAACAAAUGCCCUGCUUCCAGGAAAAGCCUCUAAGCAUCAGGUAACAUCAAAUCGUACCCCAAACCGACACAGGUGGUCAGGUAGAGAAUACCAAGGCGCUUGAGAGAACUCGGGUGAAGGAACUAGGCAAAAUGGUGCCGUAACUUCGGGAGAAGGCACGCUGAUAUGUAGGUGAAGUCCCUCGCGGAUGGAGCUGAAAUCAGUCGAAGAUACCAGCUGGCUGCAACUGUUUAUUAAAAACACAGCACUGUGCAAACACGAAAGUGGACGUAUACGGUGUGACGCCUGCCCGGUGCCGGAAGGUUAAUUGAUGGGGUCAGCGCAAGCGAAGCUCUUGAUCGAAGCCCCGGUAAACGGCGGCCGUAACUAUAACGGUCCUAAGGUAGCGAAAUUCCUUGUCGGGUAAGUUCCGACCUGCACGAAUGGCGUAAUGAUGGCCAGGCUGUCUCCACCCGAGACUCAGUGAAAUUGAACUCGCUGUGAAGAUGCAGUGUACCCGCGGCAAGACGGAAAGACCCCGUGAACCUUUACUAUAGCUUGACACUGAACAUUGAGCCUUGAUGUGUAGGAUAGGUGGGAGGCUUGGAAGUGUGGACGCCAGUCUGCAUGGAGCCGACCUUGAAAUACCACCCUUUAAUGUUUGAUGUUCUAACGUUGACCCGUGAUCCGGGUUGCGGACAGUGUCUGGUGGGUAGUUUGACUGGGGCGGUCUCCUCCUAAAGAGUAACGGAGGAGCACGAAGGUUGGCUAAUCCUGGUCGGACAUCAGGAGGUUAGUGCAAUGGCAUAAGCCAGCUUGACUGCGAGCGUGACGGCGCGAGCAGGUGCGAAAGCAGGUCAUAGUGAUCCGGUGGUUCUGAAUGGAAGGGCCAUCGCUCAACGGAUAAAAGGUACUCCGGGGAUAACAGGCUGAUACCGCCCAAGAGUUCAUAUCGACGGCGGUGUUUGGCACCUCGAUGUCGGCUCAUCACAUCCUGGGGCUGAAGUAGGUCCCAAGGGUAUGGCUGUUCGCCAUUUAAAGUGGUACGCGAGCUGGGUUUAGAACGUCGUGAGACAGUUCGGUCCCUAUCUGCCGUGGGCGCUGGAGAACUGAGGGGGGCUGCUCCUAGUACGAGAGGACCGGAGUGGACGCAUCACUGGUGUUCGGGUUGUCAUGCCAAUGGCACUGCCCGGUAGCUAAAUGCGGAAGAGAUAAGUGCUGAAAGCAUCUAAGCACGAAACUUGCCCCGAGAUGAGUUCUCCCUGACUCCUUGAGAGUCCUGAAGGAACGUUGAAGACGACGACGUUGAUAGGCCGGGUGUGUAAGCGCAGCGAUGCGUUGAGCUAACCGGUACUAAUGAACCGUGAGGCUUAACCUU